RNAcentral lists this small nuclear RNA (77 nucleotides) under Suricata suricatta (meerkat). The record is from RNAcentral. Lineage: Eukaryota; Metazoa; Chordata; Mammalia; Carnivora; Herpestidae.
UUGGAACAAUACAGAGAAGAUUAGCAUGGCCCCUGCACAAGGGUGACACAGAAAUCUGUGAAGCGUUUCAUAUUUUU